Triticum dicoccoides is the source of this 2224-nucleotide long non-coding RNA. RefSeq lists it as uncharacterized. The record is from RefSeq and is a predicted model, not a curated record. The transcript has 3 exons. Lineage: Eukaryota; Viridiplantae; Streptophyta; Magnoliopsida; Poales; Poaceae.
UUCAUCUUCCUCCCUCUGUUUCUCUCUCGCACGGGCAGAGUACAAGCAGCGCCUCCGCCCUCCCCACUACAUCCCGCCGCCAGCUCAGGGACCCUUCCCCUCCCUUGUUGUGCGCUUCUUUGGCAGGGACUGCACCUCUCCAGUCCCCACCGCCGUUGAGAUGGCCGCCCUUCCCUUUGCCUCUCCACCUCCGUCGAUGGAGGCGCAGACUUUGUCUCCACCAGAUCCUCGGUCGCGGACUUGACGCGAUUGAUGGAGGGCUCUGCAGCGCCUAACUCCUCCUCUUGCGGGACAAGAUGCGAAAUCGGAGCAAGCGCUGAGGAGCGCCAGUGAAGACGCCCUGCUCCGAUGGGUUGGGCAUGCUGCGAGCCUCACCGUGUGGUGUGGCCAAGUACGACAUGCUCCAAAGUGGAUGGUCGACGCCCUGCCCACCUCGCCCAUGACUGGUACAACAUGAAGUUGGGUUCUAGUGUUUUAGCUAUAGUGCAGGAAAGCAAUCUUGGAUUCACUGGAUGAUGUAUACACACCAAGUGCACCUCGCUUUCAUAAUAGCAAGCAACCCCAUUCUGAGGUAUGUUCUUUUCGCCCGCUACCUUUUUAAGAGUUUGAUUAUUUCCAAUUAGCCUUCUCUGAUGUGAUGCUUGAUAACCCCAUUAUGAGAUUUUGUAUAGUCCUUUCAUUGACAUGGCCUAAAACUAACAUCAAUGAAAGGACUAUACAAAAUGGUAGGCCAUGUCAAUGUCAAUGAAAGGACUAUAAUACAAUACAUGUCAAAUGUCCCAAUGCCAUGUCAAUACAUACAAUACUCUCAAGUCUGCAAUACAAUACCAAUUGGUAGGCCAACAUUCAGAGAAGGAUGUACUGAACUUAGGUUGUAGAAGUUCAGAGAAACAUGUACUGGAUUUAGCAAGUAGAAAUUCAGAGAAGCAUGAGUGGAGGAGCCGAGUCUACCUUUUCCUGUAUGUUGUCUACCUUUUGCUAUUAUCAAUUGGGAUGUCACUUUUUUCUGAUAAGGGAAAAGACGUGCUCAGGGUCUUGUUGAUCCAGAACUUGUUGACCAUCUGACUUCCAUGCUAAAAAAGAUAGGCAUCUCCUAAAUUAUGUUGCUAAUUCUUUCGUUUAUCCAAGAUGGAUGUCAGUCCUCCCAAUUAUGUGCUUAAUAUAACAGAACAGAUUAGAGAUAUGUUCAGUGCCAUGCAUUCAGUUUCACUCAAAACACAUAAACUAUAUAUUAUAGGCCAUUGUAUUUAUUUGUACUCGGUAUAUUAAGAAAUAGGAGCACAAUUGUAGUCAUGCUUUUUUGUUACUAUUUGUAUUUCUGAAUUUUGAACCAAAUCUGCCAUGAGGAAUCUGCCCAUGAACUUGUCUGAUGUCCAUCAUUUUGGUCAUUAUUAAUUUUGUUGUCGCAAGUGCACAUUCUUCCAAAUAUGGUACUCUUAAUAAUUGAAUAUGUGAGGAUAGUUGGUGUUUCAUGAAACCAGAUUGCUUUACUUGCUACAGAGUAUAGCCACCAAGGUUUGUUUCCUGUGAGCUAGCUUCCUACACCCAGCAGGGGGCUUGAUGUUAAGGUAAAGAAAACUCUGGUCAAAGUUUGUACCUGAUCAAUGUUCGUUGGCUUGUGGCGAGGGCCUCAACGUGGCGAUGGCAUCCGUGGGUCGACAGAGGAGAGCGGCAGGUGGCCACGGCGCCUCGCGCGCACAUCCAUGACUCAGCAGAUGCAGAGCUCACAUCCAUGGGGAAGUAGAGGAGAGCGGGAAGCAGCAAUGGCAGCAUGUGCUCGCGUCCUUGGGGAAGUAGAUGAGGAGAGGACGCCAGUGACUGAGUCCCCUGUUCGCAUCUGUGGGGUAGUAGAAUAGGAGCGGAAAGCGGCAACGUCGAUCCGCGUUCGCGGCAGCAGGUAGCAGAGGAGGAACGGCGGGUAGGGGCGGCGAUCUGCGCUCGCUUCCGUGGGGCAGCAGAGGAGGAGAGACAAUUUUUUUUAUCAGGAAGGAGAGACAGCUUGUAAUGAGGGAAGAGAGAAAAUUAUGGGAUAGAAAUCCCCUAUCCCGCUAAUUGAGGAGGAACGGGCGCGGGGGGCAGUCUGCUCCGGCAGAACAUUUAAUCUGGGCCGCUCGUUUGCGUGGCUGACCAUUGAUGUAAUAUGAACUGUCAGAUGUGAUUUAGUUGGAUUGAUCGAACGCCUCUGAUAAUCUCGUGUACACUUUGUGGUGUGUUUGUUGGAUAA